GAUGAACGCUAGCGGCAGGCUUAACACAUGCAAGUCGAGGGGUAUUGGUUUUCGGACCAAGAGACCGGCGCACGGGUGCGUAACGCGUAUGCAAUCUACCUUUUGCAGAGGGAUAGCCCAGAGAAAUUUGGAUUAAUACCUCAUAGUAUAGUACCUUGGCAUCAAGGAGCUAUUAAAGUCACAACGGCAAAAGAUGAGCAUGCGUCCCAUUAGCUAGUUGGUAAGGUAACGGCUUACCAAGGCGACGAUGGGUAGGGGUCCUGAGAGGGAGAUCCCCCCACACUGGUACUGAGACACGGACCAGACUCCUACGGGAGGCAGCAGUGAGGAAUAUUGGACAAUGGGCGCAAGCCUGAUCCAGCCAUGCCGCGUGCAGGAUGACGGUCCUAUGGAUUGUAAACUGCUUUUAUACAGGAAGAAACACUGGUUCGUGAACCAGCUUGACGGUACUGUAAGAAUAAGGAUCGGCUAACUCCGUGCCAGCAGCCG
This 489-nucleotide ribosomal RNA is filed under the name uncultured bacterium. RNAcentral describes it as "bacterial SSU rRNA". It matches the Rfam family "Bacterial small subunit ribosomal RNA", at positions 28 to 517 of the family's 1533-position model. The record is from RNAcentral.